UGGAUCGAUGAUGAAUUUUGGUCAUCAUGAUGACUAUUCGAUGAAUACACGUGAAAAUCUGAGGUCCAA
Molecule: small nucleolar RNA, 69 nt
Organism: Talpa occidentalis (Iberian mole)
Lineage: Eukaryota; Metazoa; Chordata; Mammalia; Eulipotyphla; Talpidae
Product: small nucleolar RNA SNORD113/SNORD114 family
Exons: 1
Source: RefSeq, a predicted model, not a curated record